RNAcentral lists this ribosomal RNA (478 nucleotides) under uncultured bacterium. RNAcentral describes it as "partial 16S ribosomal RNA". It matches the Rfam family "Bacterial small subunit ribosomal RNA", at positions 28 to 507 of the family's 1533-position model. The record is from RNAcentral.
GACGAACGCUGGCGGCGUGCUUAACACAUGCAAGUCGAACGUGAUUUUUGUGGAAAUUCUUUCGGGAAUGGAAAUGAAGUGAAAGUGGCGAACGGGUGAGUAACACGUGAGCAACCUACCUUACACAGGGGGAUAGCCGUUGGAAACGACGAUUAAUACCGCAUGAGACCACAGAAUCGCAUGAUAUAGGGGUCAAAGAUUUAUCGGUGUAAGAAGGGCUCGCGUCUGAUUAGCUAGUUGGAAGGGUAAAGGCCUACCAAGGCGACGAUCAGUAGCCGGUCUGAGAGGAUGAACGGCCACAUUGGAACUGAGACACGGUCCAAACUCCUACGGGAGGCAGCAGUGGGGAAUAUUGCACAAUGGGGGGAACCCUGAUGCAGCGACGCCGCGUGAGCGAAGAAGGUUUUCGAAUCGUAAAGCUCUGUCCUAUGAGAAGAUAAUGACGGUAUCAUAGGAGGAAGCCCCGGCUAAAUACGUG